This 460-nucleotide ribosomal RNA is filed under the name uncultured bacterium. RNAcentral's name for it is "partial 16S ribosomal RNA". It matches the Rfam family "Bacterial small subunit ribosomal RNA", at positions 338 to 795 of the family's 1533-position model. The record is from RNAcentral.
CCUACGGGAGGCAGCAGUGAGGAAUCUUGGUCAAUGGGCGAAAGCCUGAACCAGCCAAGUCGCGUGAGGGAUGAAGGUCCUAUGGUCCGUAAACCUCUUUUAUAUAGGAGUAAAGUGUUGAACGUGUCUGUUCUCGUAUGUACCUUAUGAAUCAGGAUAGGCUAACUCCGUGACAGCAGCCGCGGUACUAUGGAGGAUACGAGCGUUAUCCGGAUUUAUUGGGUUUAAAGGGAGCGUAGGGGGUCUUUUAAGUCAGAUGUGAAAGGAUGCGGCUCAACCGUACAAUUGCAGUUGAAACUGGGAGACUUGAGUACAGAAGAGGCGAGCGGAAGGCGAGGUGUAGCGGUGAAAUGCGUAGAUAUAUGGAAGAACACCGAUGGCGAAGGCAGCUCUCUGGGCUGUAACUGACGCUGAGGUACGAAAGCGUGGGGAGCAAACAGGAUUAGAUACCCCUGUAGUC